GUGUGUAUGCAGUUUGUGUGUGUGUGUGUGCAGUGUGUAUGCAGGGUGUGUGUGUAGUGUAUGCAGUGUGUGUGUAAGUGUAGUGUAUGUAGUGUGUGUGUGUGUGUGCAGUGUGUGAGUGUGAGUGUGUGUGUGUGUGCAGUGUGUAUGCAGGGUGUGUGUGUAGUGUAUGCAGUGUGUGUGUAAGUGUAGUGUAUGUAGUGUGUGUGUGUGUGUGCAGUGUGUGAGUGUGAGUGUGUGUGUGUGCAGUGUGUAUGCAGGGUGUGUGUGUAGUGUAUGCAGUGUGUGUGUAAGUGUAGUGUAUGUAGUGUGUGUGUGUUUGUGUACUGUGUGUGCAAUGUGUAUACAGUGUGUGUGUUUGUGUACUGUGUAUGCAGUGUGUGUGUGUAUGCAGGGUGUAUGCAGUGUGUGUAUGUAUGUAUGCACUGUGUGUGUACUUGCAGGGUGUGUGUGU
RNAcentral lists this long non-coding RNA (454 nucleotides) under Malus domestica (apple). RNAcentral's name for it is "long non-coding RNA (MDOM_LNC004332)". The record is from RNAcentral. Lineage: Eukaryota; Viridiplantae; Streptophyta; Magnoliopsida; Rosales; Rosaceae.